This 305-nucleotide unclassified non-coding RNA is filed under the name plant metagenome. RNAcentral's name for it is "partial contains 5.8S ribosomal RNA, internal transcribed spacer 2, and large subunit ribosomal RNA". The stretch from base 1 to 104 matches the Rfam family "5.8S ribosomal RNA", at positions 51 to 154 of the family's 154-position model. The record is from RNAcentral.
AAAUGCGAUAAGUAAUGUGAAUUGCAGAAUUCAGUGAAUCAUCGAAUCUUUGAACGCACAUUGCGCCCGCCAGUAUUCUGGCGGGCAUGCCUGUCCGAGCGUCAUUUCAACCAUCCAGCCCCCGGGCUUGUGUUGGGGACCUGCGGCUGCCCGCAGGCCCUGAAAACCAGUGGCGGGCUCGCUGUCACACCGAGCGUAGUAGCAAUCACCUCGCUCAGGGCGUGCUGCGGGUUCCGGCCGUUAAACAGCCUUACAAAACCCAAGGUUGACCUCGGAUCAGGUAGGAAGACCCGCUGAACUUAAGC